RNAcentral lists this ribosomal RNA (405 nucleotides) under uncultured bacterium. RNAcentral's name for it is "bacterial SSU rRNA". It matches the Rfam family "Bacterial small subunit ribosomal RNA", at positions 356 to 773 of the family's 1533-position model. The record is from RNAcentral.
GGGGAAUAUUGCACAAUGGGCGCAAGCCUGAUGCAGCGACGCCGCGUGAGGGGUGACGGCCUUCGGGUUGUAAACCUCUUUCAGCAGGGAAGAAGCGCAAGUGACGGUACCUACAGAAGAAGCGCCGGCUAACUACGUGCCAGCAGCCGCGGUAAUACGUAGGGCGCAAGCGUUGUCCGGAAUUAUUGGGCGUAAAGAGCUCGUAGGCGGCUUGUCGCGUCGGUUGUGAAAGCCCGGGGCUUAACUCCGGGUCUGCAGUCGAUACGGGCAGGCUAGAGUUCGGUAGGGGAGAUCGGAAUUCCUGGUGUAGCGGUGAAAUGCGCAGAUAUCAGGAGGAACACCGGUGGCGAAGGCGGAUCUCUGGGCCGAUACUGACGCUGAGGAGCGAAAGCGUGGGGAGCGAAC